RNAcentral lists this ribosomal RNA (929 nucleotides) under uncultured bacterium. Its description in RNAcentral is "bacterial SSU rRNA". It matches the Rfam family "Bacterial small subunit ribosomal RNA", at positions 8 to 916 of the family's 1533-position model. The record is from RNAcentral.
AGAGUUUGAUCAUGGCUCAGGACGAACGCUGGCGGCGUGCUUAAUACAUGCAAGUCGAGCGAGGUUAUCUUUUCAAAGUCCUUUCGGGACGGCGAAUUUUUAACCUAGCGGCGGACGGGUGAGUAACGCGUGGGUAACCUGCCCUAAAGCCCGGGAUAACAGUGGGAAACUGCUGCUAAUACCGGAUAGCUUUAUCUGGAGGCAUCUUCGGAUAAGGAAAAAUUUAUUGCUUUAGGAUGGGCCCGCGUCCCAUUAGCUAGUUGGUGAGGUAACGGCCCACCAAGGCGACGAUGGGUAGCCGGCCUGAGAGGGUGAACGGCCACACUGGGACUGAGACACGGCCCAGACUCCUACGGGAGGCAGCAGUAGGGAAUAUUGCGCAAUGGAGGGAACUCUGACGCAGCGACGCCGCGUGAGCGAUGAAGGUUUUCGGAUCGUAAAGCUCUGUCCUUGGGGAAGAAGGCGGCCAUUUACGGCCACUUGACGGUACCCAAGGAGGAAGCCCCGGCUAGCUACGUGCCAGCAGCCGCGGUAAUACGUAGGGGGCAAGCGUUGUCCGGAAUUAUUGGGCGUAAAGGGUGCGUAGGCGGCCUUUUAAGUCAGAUGUGAAAGACCACGGCUUAACCGUGGGGUUGCAUUUGAAACUGGAGGGCUUGAGUAUCGGAGAGGGUAGUGGAAUUCCCAGUGUAGCGGUGGAAUGCGUAGAUAUUGGGAGGAACACCAGUGGCGAAGGCGACUACCUGGACGAAAACUGACGCUGAGGCACGAAAGCUAGGGGAGCAAACAGGAUUAGAUACCCUGGUAGUCCUAGCCGUAAACGAUGGGUACUAGGUGUAGGAGGUUUCGAUACCUUCUGUGCCGCAGUUAACGCAAUAAGUACCCCGCCUGGGGAGUACGUGCGCAAGCAUGAAACUCAAAGGAAUUGACGG